This 463-nucleotide ribosomal RNA is filed under the name Vreelandella stevensii. RNAcentral's name for it is "partial 16S ribosomal RNA". It matches the Rfam family "Bacterial small subunit ribosomal RNA", at positions 338 to 795 of the family's 1533-position model. Lineage: Bacteria; Pseudomonadati; Pseudomonadota; Gammaproteobacteria; Oceanospirillales; Halomonadaceae. The record is from RNAcentral.
CCUACGGGUGGCAGCAGUGGGGAAUAUUGGACAAUGGGCGAAAGCCUGAUCCAGCCAUGCCGCGUGUGUGAAGAAGGCCUUCGGGUUGUAAAGCACUUUCAGUGGGGAAGAAAGCCUUGGGGCUAAUACCCUCGAGGAAGGACAUCACCCACAGAAGAAGCACCGGCUAACUCCGUGCCAGCAGCCGCGGUAAUACGGAGGGUGCGAGCGUUAAUCGGAAUUACUGGGCGUAAAGCGCGCGUAGGCGGUCUGAUAAGCCGGUUGUGAAAGCCCCGGGCUCAACCUGGGAACGGCAUCCGGAACUGUCAGGCUAGAGUGCAGGAGAGGAAGGUAGAAUUCCCGGUGUAGCGGUGAAAUGCGUAGAGAUCGGGAGGAAUACCAGUGGCGAAGGCGGCCUUCUGGACUGACACUGACGCUGAGGUGCGAAAGCGUGGGUAGCAAACAGGAUUAGAUACCCGGUGUC